This 27-nucleotide non-coding RNA is filed under the name Rattus norvegicus (Norway rat). The record is from RNAcentral. Lineage: Eukaryota; Metazoa; Chordata; Mammalia; Rodentia; Muridae.
UAAAAAGUUGCCUUUUGCCCAGCACCC